This 317-nucleotide unclassified non-coding RNA is filed under the name Hevea brasiliensis (rubber tree). Lineage: Eukaryota; Viridiplantae; Streptophyta; Magnoliopsida; Malpighiales; Euphorbiaceae. The record is from RNAcentral.
GGGAGAGAAGAGAGAGAUAGAGAGUGUAGAGACUAGAGAGGGGGAGAGUGUGUGUGUGCAGAGAGACAGAGAGAGGGGUGGGGCGGAAGAAGAAUUGAAGGUAUUUUGGUCAUUUGGCAUUUAAUUAAUGGCAAUUUAAACUCAAUUUGAAUGGAGGGACAUUUUUGUUGAUGGAAUGGAACCUGGGGGAGUAAAGUGUUUCAAAUUGAAAAUAAGGGGACCAACUGGUGUUUUUUGACAAACCUCAGAGCCAAAUUGUAAAUUACCUAUGUGCACACACACACACUGUUGUUUUUCUUUUUAUUGUUGCUUUAUCA